AGAGUUUGAUCAUGGCUCAGGAUGAACGCUGGCGGCGUGCCUAAUACAUGCAAGUCGAACGAGGUGCUUUUGUAGCAAUACGAGAGUAUCCUAGUGGCGAACGGGUGAGUAACGCGUUGGUGACCUACCCCAAAGUGUGGGAUAACAGUCCGAAAGGAUUGCUAAUACCGCAUGUGGUCUUCGGAUUUAGAAACUGAUGACUAAAGGAGCAAUUCGCUUUGGGAGGGACCUGCGUCCCAUCAGCUAGUUGGUGAGGUAAUGGCUCACCAAGGCUACGACGGGUAGGGGACCUGAGAGGGUGACCCCCCACAAUGGAACUGAAACACGGUCCAUACACCUACGGGUGGCAGCAGUAGGGAAUAUUGCACAAUGGGCGAAAGCCUGAUGCAGCAACGCCGCGUGUGCGAUGAAGGCCUUCGGGUCGUAAAGCACUUUUCUGAGAGAUGAGAAAGGACAGUAUCUCAGGAAUAAGUCUCGGCUAACUACGUGCCAGCAGCCGCGGUAAUAC
Molecule: ribosomal RNA, 508 nt
Filed under: uncultured bacterium
Lineage: Bacteria
Description: bacterial SSU rRNA
Rfam family: Bacterial small subunit ribosomal RNA
Source: RNAcentral